Molecule: long non-coding RNA, 2178 nt
Organism: Suricata suricatta (meerkat)
Lineage: Eukaryota; Metazoa; Chordata; Mammalia; Carnivora; Herpestidae
Exons: 2
Source: RefSeq, a predicted model, not a curated record
AGGUGGGUUUCUUCCUUCCUCCCUUCCUUCCUUUUUCUUUUUCACCCAAGUGAACAAUCUCUGCCUUUUCAAAGAAGUAUAACGGCACUUUUGACACGAUUACUGGUACAGUUAUCUUUAUACCUGUCCUCUUGCUGUGGCGUUUCUAUUUGUCCCAUCUUUGUUUCCCUCCCCCCCUUUCCCUGCCUUCUUCUGGUUUGAGGUUUUUUUAAAUAGACUUUUUCAGAGCAGCUUUAGGUGGGGCCUUUGGCAGGUGUUCUGCUCUAAGUCCCCACUGGCUGCCCGGUGGCCAGACUGUGAUGACCAUGGGCUGUGGUGAUUUCAGGGCUCACCCGGGUGUUUUCCAGGUCAGGAUCACUCUCCUUUGCCUGAUGCUGAGUCCUGAGCCCUGUUGUUUCACGUAUUUUGUCUGGCCUUUUGGUUGUUUGAGGAAGGAGAGAAAAAUCUAGUUCCUGUUCCUCCCUCUUGGUUAGGAGUGAAAGUCCUCCUGUGUAUGAUUUUUAAAAUGAAAGUAUAUUUCUUUUUUGUAGAGGUUAGGCAAAAUGGCCUUCUUUCUUGGUUAAAGCUUCCUGGUUAAAGGUUACUCCAGGGCCUGUUGGAGAGAAAUCAGGCGGCCUGAAAUCUCAGGCUACUUUUGGAAUUUGCAGCACUUCAUGGGGGCGCUUCAGCUUGAGGGCAAGGACUCUCAGUUCCCAGAGGGUGGCGUGUGAGAUCAAAGCAGUCCCAGUAGCUACAGCUGAGGGCAGCCCCCAGGGUCAGCCAGCUUGGCUGGCGGUCAAGAGGAGAAAGUGAGUCAAUACCUGUGGCCCCGAAGCCCCUCACUGGAAGUUGUGGGUUUCUGUGUCCUGGUUUCAGGCCAGUCCACCCUGAAAGCUUCCUCAAGUGCAUGAGAUGGAGAAGAUCAGCAGACACUUCCCCCCAGGCAAGCCCUGCGCUGGGCACCUGACAUCUGCCACUCUGGGCCCAGAGGCCCUGACCUGAGGCCCUCGGGUUUGGGGUUUGUGUUUUGGGCUUUAGGAUUUUUCACGGUUUCCAGAGGCAACAUGGCCCGUACUCCACACAGUGCCCAGGACCCUCGGCGCUGGGAAGGAACCUCGUCAGUGUUUCUGGAGGGUAGAACAUUCACACAGGCAGGGGGGCUAGGCUAUUUUUGCCGCCCUGUGAGUUAAGGGAGGCCUGCGGUCUAGGAGAGCUAUGAAUCUUGGAAUCGCAGAGGAGAGCCUGGGGACCUGUCCUUGUGUCUCCUGCUCUGAUGGGUGGGGCAGCUGAGCCCCAACAGGUCAAGUGACUGUCCACAGCCACCUGACGGUAAGUAGCAGGCGGGGCCCUCAAUCACGGCCUGCACAUUUGUCCGCUGCGCUGCCACUGCCUGUCACGCCCGGCUCAGUUCUCGCCUUCCUGAGGCCUUCCCCAACCGAACCAGCCCAGGGCUGUCGUGUGCCAGGGAGGGACCCCUGCGUUCAGUGAUUCAUUCCACUUGCCCUCUUCUGUGGCCUUCAGCUCACAGUUUAGCCAGAAGUCAAAGUUUUGUUGCAGUGGACAGCCAUCAACAUACAUUCUUAGAUUUAGAUGUCUCUGCUUUCCUUCUGUGCAGUGGGUCCCCAAAGCAGGCCUGCUGGUCAGAGGGCCUCUACUGUUUUGAUUCGGUCACGCAUGAGCAGCCUGCUGUCACGGAUCGGAGCGUCCCAGUGUCAGGAGCCGGCCGAGUGCCCCCCCCCCCCACAGCCGCCCCGCCUCCACAGCCCCGCCCGCGGAGGAUCUCAGCUAUGCACACAGCUAACACAUGGGGAUCCACAGUGUCCACAGACCUUUGAAACGAAGCAGCGCCUUCACGCUGACUUGACAUCUGUCUUCUGUCCUGUACAUACACUCUGAGAUCUAUUUCUGGGUCGUCUGUUCGGAUCCAGGGAGACCUGCCUCUUCCUGGGUCAGGACCUGCAUCCUGCUUUUAGAAUCAGGCAAAAAAGUUGUCAUCCUCAUAAUCCUCCUCCUCCUCAUUAUUUAAAAUAACAAUGCCUUUGGAGUCACUGCAGAGCCCUAAUGGAAACCAAAAUGCCUGGCAGCCAGGAGGCCUCGGUGAAGGGUCUCGUGGGCCCCAACCAGGAGGCGAGAUCAGGGAGGAGAGAAAUAAGGACCCGCUGCUUAUAAAAUAAAGUUUUCCCUUUUAUUUCAAAUCAA